GCCAUGCAAGUCUCAGUACAUGCCUAACUAAGGUGAAACCGCAAAAGGCUCAUUAAAUCAGUUAUGGUUCCUUGGAUCUUAAACAGUUACUUGGAUAACUGUGGUAAUUCUAGAGCUAAUACAUGCAAACAAGUCCCGACCAGAGAUGGGAGGGACGCUUUUAUUAGAUCAAAACCGAUCGGCGUCCGGUUUCGGCCGGCGCCGUCUCUUUUGGUGACUCUGGAUAACUUUUAGCCGAUCGCACGGUCACAGUACCGGCGACGCAUCUUUCAAAUGUCUGACUUAUCAACUGUCGAUGGUAGCCUCUGCGACUACCAUGGUUGUAACGGGUAACGGGGAAUCAGGGUUCGAUUCCGGAGAGGGAGCCUGAGAAACGGCUACCACAUCCAAGGAAGGCAGCAGGCGCGCAAAUUACCCACUCCCGGCACGGGGAGGUAGUGACGAAAAAUAACGAUACGGGACUCAUCCGAGGCCCCGUAAUCGGAAUGAGUACACUUUAAAUACUUUAACGAGUACCAAUUGGAGGGCAAGUCUGGUGCCAGCAGCCGCGGUAAUUCCAGCUCCAAUAGCGUAUAUUAAAGUUGUUGCGGAUAAAAAGCUCGUAGUUGGAUCUGUGUGCCACGCUGUCGGUUCACCGCCUGUCGGUGUCAACUGGCAUGUCUGUGGGACGUCCUGCCGGUGGCGGUACGGGCUGCCGGCGCUGCGUAGGGGCUCGCCCCCGAAGCACGCCGGCGUGUCCCGGUCCGCCGAUCCAAUCCCGCCGCGGUGCUCUUCACUGAGUGUCGAGGUGGGCCGGCACGUUUACUUUGAACAAAUUAGAGUGCUCAAAUCAGGUCGUAUUUAGGCCUGAAUACUG
This is a ribosomal RNA of 856 nucleotides. It matches the Rfam family "Eukaryotic small subunit ribosomal RNA", at positions 48 to 804 of the family's 1831-position model.